RNAcentral lists this long non-coding RNA (278 nucleotides) under Ananas comosus (pineapple). Its description in RNAcentral is "long non-coding RNA (ACOM_LNC041865)". Lineage: Eukaryota; Viridiplantae; Streptophyta; Magnoliopsida; Poales; Bromeliaceae. The record is from RNAcentral.
ACAAUGCAAUUUUCGCUGAAAAUGCAUUGUUUCGGAUUUUACAAGCUCUUAGAAACUUUCUAAUCAAUUACAACUUGAAAAUAUGAUUCUAAGAUCUAUAAAUAAGUAUGAAUCACCAUAAACAAGAUUUAAAGCUUACCUAAGCAUCGUGAUUCAAGUUUUGCGUGUUUUGCGUCCUUUCUGAUUCUUCGAAGUCUUGGAUUCUUCGAUCUUCAAUACUCCGCUCCGGACUUCUUCAAGACUCCGACUCGACCCACGAAACUUGCCAACACAUAGGA